GGAGUCGGCCAGGCAGUCGCGCUCCCGCGGCCGGCCUGCCGGGCGCGGGAGGGAGGAAAGUCCGGGCUCCACAGGGCAGGGUGCCAGGUAACGCCUGGGGGGCGCGAGCCCACGGAAAGUGCCACAGAAAACAGACCGCCGAGCCUGCUGCACGGCAGGUGGUAAGGGUGAAAAGGUGCGGUAAGAGCGCACCGCGCCGGUGGCAACACGCGGCGGCACGGUAAACCCCACCCGGAGCAAGACCAAAUAGGGGAGCACGCGGCGCGGCGUCACAGCCGCUGCCGCAGCCUGCGGCCCGCAGGCGCUCCCGGGUAGGUCGCAAGAGGCGUGCGGCGACGUACGCCCCAGAUGAAUGACUGCCCGCGACAGAACCCGGCUUAUCGGCCGGCUCCUCCU
RNAcentral lists this RNase P RNA (396 nucleotides) under Thiohalocapsa halophila. RNAcentral describes it as "RNase P RNA component class A". It matches the Rfam family "Bacterial RNase P class A". From Rfam's summary of the family: Ribonuclease P (RNase P) is a ubiquitous endoribonuclease, found in archaea, bacteria and eukarya as well as chloroplasts and mitochondria. Its best characterised activity is the generation of mature 5'-ends of tRNAs by cleaving the 5'-leader elements of precursor-tRNAs. Lineage: Bacteria; Pseudomonadati; Pseudomonadota; Gammaproteobacteria; Chromatiales; Chromatiaceae. The record is from RNAcentral.